RNAcentral lists this long non-coding RNA (2317 nucleotides) under Marmota monax (woodchuck). Lineage: Eukaryota; Metazoa; Chordata; Mammalia; Rodentia; Sciuridae. The record is from RNAcentral.
UGGUUGAGUGCCCCUGGGUCCAAUCCCAGUACCAAAAAACAAACUAUCUGGAAUAAUAAUGAGCAAAAACAUCUAGUUUGAAGACCUUUAUUAAAUGAUUGUGGGUGUUGCUGCCUAUCUUUUAAAAAUGAAAAAUUCAUUUCAAUAAAACAAAUAUACACUGAAGCUAUUUUCCUUUAUAUUAAAAUAAAUGUGUUCUCAUUUAUUUUUAAUAUUAAUUAUCAUUAAUAUGUAAGAGCAAAUUAUGUCACCACCAAGCUUCAGAUAUCUUAGGAUAUUCUAGACACACUUAAGAUCACCCAGCUCUGUCAGUACCCUUGGGAAUGGGGAUCAGCCUGUCCAUGUUUGUUUCCUGAGCUUCUGCCUUAGAGCUUUUUGUCAUUUUCCAGGGUUUGCUGAAUGGUGUCAGUGGUAUGAGAAGAACGUGAGGCUGUUUCUGUCUCAAUUCCAGCUUAUCUUCAGUGCUUUCUUGAGUCUGUGAAAGGUGUGCUGAUUCUUUCCUCAGAGCCUCCAGUUCCUUUAGUGUCUUGUGCCUGUCUGGAUGGUGCUGGAUCAUUUUUGCCAAAGCAUCAUGCUCUGGGCAGUUUUUUUUGUAUUUGUUUGGCUUGAAGAUUCUGCUUUUGUGCCCAGCAUCUUUUCAUGUGCUCCAGCAAUGCUGCCUUCUGUUCUUUGUAAAAAUUGUUUCCUAAUUUUCCAUUUCUCUGAGAUUCGUGUCGUACACCUGCAGGGUUCUACCCAUUGAAAGUCCACAUUGAGACGGUUGGUUCUGGCUGUGUCCUCCUUCUUGGGGUCCAGAAUUGUAACGUCAGUGAGACUUUUGCUUGCAGACUAACUGUCCAGUCAUCUCCGGCACUAUCUCAUCAUGCAGGAGACGAUUCCAUAGACCUUGGCUGUCCGUCAUGGCACCCACGGUGCACCCCAUUCUCCCCUUCCACAGGCCUCUGCAUUCUCUGGCUUGUGGUCCCCUUCCUCUGUCUUGAGUCAGUAAUGGCCGUUCGGUUUCCUCUCAUGCUUUCGAUCGCUCCUCAGUUUUGUUUUUGUUUUUUUCUUUAAUUAUUGUCUCUCUCACUCACUUUUUCACUUGUGUUCUUUUUUCGAGAUGGUGUCUCACAGUGUUGCCCAGGUAUGAACUCCUGGGCGAAGCCAUCCUGUCGCCUACAUCCUUGAGCAGCUGGGUCUAGAGGCACAUACUACCAAGUCUGCUCCUCUUCUGCUUUCCAAGGUCCACAGGAAUAAUCCAGGAUACAAUCCCCGUUUUAAGGGCAGCUGAUUAGCAACCUUAAACCCAUCUGCAAAUUAAUUUUGCCAUGUAAAAUAACAUAGUCACAGGUUCUGGGGAUUACAGCAGAGAUGUUAGUAUUUAGCUAAUGACUGGAGCACAAGACAAUUCACAGGAUGAAUCCAGUCCAGCAAGCCUGUCCUUCUAAGCCUUUGGCCUCCCCUCCACUUCACACCAGGGAAGAUCUGGCGUCUCUGUCUCACUGACUUCAGGCCACCAGUGAGUCCAGUUCUUCAGCCUUCCGCAACUGAGCAAGAACAUCAAAUUGGAAAUUGUAGUAAAUCACAACAAUGUCAGCCCUGUUGUUAAAUUCCACCCUCCUUGACCUGAGAAUCCAUCUCACACAUUUUCCAGUUUCCCACUGAUGCAUUAAUGGCAGUCUUGAAAUUUCUCCAUGUGAAGUCAUUUUCUCUCCCCGAGAAGCUGAGAUGUAACCUAGUUAUGGGUCUAGCAGCCUUAGGUAGAGGUCAUGUGGCUCUUGCUGAGAAUGGGCAUGUGCCCCAGGUGAGUUUCUUGCGGGUUUUCAAGCAGAGCAGGGAUAGUUUUCUCAGACCCUGAAGAGCAAACUACUGCUGGCAAGAGAGACUCAGAGUGCCUUGGGAACUCAUUUCAUCUGGGUCCAACCAGAUAUUCCCAUUGAGUUUCAGUGUACCAUUUUUACCAAUUGUUUUAAUUUUCACACAAGGAACUUAAGACUUAGCAAGGCUGUCACAAUUGAUGUAAAUCAGCCCCCUGUUCAACUGAGAUUUUUUUUUUUUUGUACUGGGGAUUGAAUCCAGGGGUGUUUAUCACCAAACUACAGCCCCAGUCCUUUUUAUUUUGAGACAGGAUCUCACUAAGUUGCCCAGGUUGGCCUAGAGCUUACAAUCCUCUGUCUCAGGCUCCAGAGUUGCUGGGAUCACAGGACAGCAUCACCCACCCCGUGACAUAAGCAUCUUCACAAUGCUUGGCUGUCACCAGCAGCCAGUGCCCAGUGGAGCACCUUAGAGGAAGGGGUCACCUUGUCCCCUCUUUAGUAAGACUCUGUGGUCUCUAGGG